This 464-nucleotide ribosomal RNA is filed under the name uncultured bacterium. Its description in RNAcentral is "partial 16S ribosomal RNA". It matches the Rfam family "Bacterial small subunit ribosomal RNA", at positions 339 to 795 of the family's 1533-position model. The record is from RNAcentral.
CUACGGGUCGCACCAGUGGGGAAUAUUGCACAAUGGGCGCAAGCCUGAUGCAGCCAUGCCGCGUGUAUGAAGAAGGCCUUCGGGUUGUAAAGUACUUUCAGCGGGGAGGAAGGGAGUAAAGUUAAUACCUUUGCUCAUUGACGUUACCCGCAGAAGAAGCACCGGCGAACUCCGUGCCAGCAGCCGCGGUAAUACGGAGGGUGCAAGCGUUAAUCGGAAUUACUGGGCGUAAGGCGCACGCAGGCGGUUUGUUAAGUCAGAUGUGAAAUCCCCGGGCUCAACCUGGGAACUGCAUCUGAUACUGGCAAGCUUGAGUCUCGUAGAGGGGGGUAGAAUUCCAGGUGUAGCGGUGAAAUGCGUAGAGAUCUGGAGGAAUACCGGUGGCGAAGGCGGCCCCCUGGACGAAGACUGACGCUCAGGUGCGAAAGCGUAGGGAGCAAACAGGAUUAGAUACCCCCGUAGUC